Roseburia sp. CAG:303 is the source of this 188-nucleotide regulatory RNA element. It matches the Rfam family "Lysine riboswitch aptamer". From Rfam's summary of the family: Riboswitches are metabolite binding domains within certain messenger RNAs that serve as precision sensors for their corresponding targets. Lineage: Bacteria; Bacillati; Bacillota; Clostridia; Lachnospirales; Lachnospiraceae. The record is from Rfam.
AAUAGAAAUAGAGGUUGCAUUUUUUAAGAGUAAUAUCCCGGAUGUGGGCAGUGCAGAAGAAAGGAUAAGAAAGGGAAAAAUGCCGAAGGGAUCAGAUUUUCCUGCCGUUUUGUAUCCCUGGGCAUGCAGUGAAGAACUGUAUGACUGUCAUCUGAUGGGAAAUCCCUGGAUGGAGAGCUAUGAACAUU